GGAGGUGGUGGUUACGAGAGACA
RNAcentral lists this non-coding RNA (23 nucleotides) under Arabidopsis thaliana (thale cress). The record is from RNAcentral. Lineage: Eukaryota; Viridiplantae; Streptophyta; Magnoliopsida; Brassicales; Brassicaceae.